CGUGCCUUUUCCUUCCUCUUUACUUCUUCCCUCCUCACUGUACCAUGUUUCGGAUUUUCUUGGGCAUCAAGUUGGGUUCCCGCCGAGUGUGCUUCCCAAUUUGAAGUCCAGGAUUUUUCGCCUAUUCCAGUGCAGAGUUCACACGGCGGUUUGGGCAGGGUGCACAAUUUCCAUUUGCCCAUAUUUCUGUUCUUGUAGUAUGGGUCAAGUUUAUGGUUUGCCAUUUGUUCGUGCGUUUGGCUUUGGGUUGGGGAGUCCCAGAGGCAUCAACCAGCAUAGCAUUCGCAGGUUGCAUCCUUCCCUCCGUCUUGAGUCUCAUCACCCUCCAAAACUCCAACUCUAGACGGAACAGUUCCGGACGAAGAGACGGAUCCAGAUUCAAGGUUCCAGACCUGAUCUUCCCAAAGAUGGUGGUGUCGAGGAUGACACACGACUCCUCUCGAGUGCGAUACGAUGACGAAAUUGACAGGAGGGAAAUUUGCGCUUGAGUUUCUCCAACGACAGUGUUUCCGAAGAUCAAGAGCCGUUCAUGGUGACCAUGGUCAUGAGCAAAAAUGAGUAGGUUUUAAAGGUGAAAGUUUGGUCUCGGCAAAUUCUGAUAUUCUUGAAGGAGUGGAUGAUCUGAUGCAACUUAGUUAUUUAAAUGAACAUUUGGUUUUCUACAAUUUGCAACACGAUCCAAUCAAAAUAUGAUUUAUAUGAAGUAAAUCAAUCCAUUAUUAUAAGCGGCGAAAGUGGAGCUGAAAAAACUUACACAGCAAAGAUAACAAUGCAUUACUUGGCUGCUUUGGGUGGUGGAAGUGGAAUAGAGUAUGAGAUAUUGAAGACUAAUCCAAUACUAGAAGCCUCUUGUAAUGCAAAGACGUUGAGAAAUGACAACUCAAGUCAUUUUGUAAGAUCCGCAUCUGUCAUGAUAAAUCUUUUAGUUGAUCUUUUCUCAGGUCUUUGGAGUAAUGCAUGUUAGUUUACUUUGAAUUUUGUGAUUGAAACCGUGUGUUUUUGCUUCCCUAAGAAAUUUUUAACUGACUAUGUUCUUAAAUAUUUGUCUGCCUAUUGAUUAUGAUGUUCCCAGUGUAACAUGAACAGUUUUGCUGGAAAAGGACACUGUUCAUUCUUUUAGCUGUAUAUUUACAUUAUC
Long non-coding RNA from Prosopis cineraria, 1138 nucleotides. RefSeq lists it as uncharacterized. The transcript is spliced from 5 exons. Lineage: Eukaryota; Viridiplantae; Streptophyta; Magnoliopsida; Fabales; Fabaceae. The record is from RefSeq and is a predicted model, not a curated record.